GACGAACGCUGGCGGCGUGCCUAAUACAUGCAAGUAGAACGCUGAAGGAAGGAGCUUGCUCUUUCCGGAUGAGUUGCGAACGGGUGAGUAACGCGUAGGUAACCUGCCUGGUAGCGGGGGAUAACUAUUGGAAACGAUAGCUAAUACCGCAUAACAGUAGAUAUCGCAUGAUAGCUGCUUGAAAGGUGCAAUUGCACCACUACCAGAUGGACCUGCGUUGUAUUAGCUAGUUGGUGAGGUAACGGCUCACCAAGGCAACGAUACAUAGCCGACCUGAGAGGGUGAUCGGCCACACUGGGACUGAGACACGGCCCAGGCUCCUACGGGAGGCAGCAGUAGGGAAUCUUCGGCAAUGGACGGAAGUCUGACCGAGCAACGCCGCGUGAGUGAAGAAGGUUUUCGGAUCGUAAAGCUCUGUUGUAAGAGAAGAACGAGUGUGAGAGUGGAAAGUUCACACUGUGACGGUAUCU
This 470-nucleotide ribosomal RNA is filed under the name Streptococcus infantis. Its description in RNAcentral is "bacterial SSU rRNA". It matches the Rfam family "Bacterial small subunit ribosomal RNA", at positions 28 to 480 of the family's 1533-position model. The record is from RNAcentral. Lineage: Bacteria; Bacillati; Bacillota; Bacilli; Lactobacillales; Streptococcaceae.